Non-coding RNA from Zonotrichia albicollis (white-throated sparrow), 1748 nucleotides. The record is from RefSeq and is a predicted model, not a curated record. Lineage: Eukaryota; Metazoa; Chordata; Aves; Passeriformes; Passerellidae.
UCAAGGACUGGUACAGUGGAAUUAAUCAUUUCUGUGCAAAAGGAAUGACCAAUUUUCUGUCAACUUCUUUUUAACCAGUCCCUGUCCAAAGUGCUGUGACUUGCUCCUGCAAUGUCUCAGCCAAGAUUUCCAUCAGGAGGAAAAAUGAAGAACAAGCUGUAUUUUACUGUGUGCUUCUGAAGGCAAAGAGUAACAGGGAAAUGAACUACAGGAUAAUGGAUGCGGGGAUGCAGAAUGACAGAUUGUUACCUAAGAGGAGUGAUCAGAGACGUUGGGAUAAAGAAUGAAGUUCUUGGGAAGUGAUGAAUUUAGCUAUUAUUGAACACCAGAACCAUAUAGCAACAUCUAAGCAAUCUUAUCUCACUGCAAGAAAGUCUCUGCAAUGGCAAAUUCCAGAACAACAGUGGCCUCUUUCAUCAAGAAUUCUGCCAAAGGACUUGUACAAAACCCACAUUCUGGCUCUCCACACUACGCAGAUGGCUUGGCUGGCUGGAAUGAAAGUGAAGAUGACAAGAUUUUGGUCUCUGGAGAGAGAAGAUCUCAUUGUAAGAUUGGAUGUUGCACCAUCUCCACCACUGUGGACAAGGUUUUACCAUAUUUGACCUGAGAAUACCUGAAAACAAACAUGAAGGAAUAAUCUAUGCCUUCAUCACCAACCUUCCACAGAGGACACCCAACAAACCAUAGAGGAAAGAAGAAAAAGUAAAGGACGCAUUCUUUAACUGUUUGCACAUAAUAUUCUUACAAACUAUUGCUCUGAUCCAUCUAUAGCACCAAAGAAAGGGCUUUGUUAUCUACUUCCAUUCAUAAAAGAAACAUCUCAGUUAACCUGAAUUUAUGAGCUACAGACAUCACAGCCUUUCAGAAGAGAAAGCAUUGAUGUCACAUGCAGUGAUGAUGUCACAGAAAAUAUCUCUGCCUUCUGAAAUUGAGGAGAUUGCAUCCAGCUUCUCUCCUGAGUGAUCUUCAGUGAAGAUAAGUUUAGGAACUGAUCUCCAAGUUGUUUUGGACAAGUUCAGAAGCUUACUGAGGCCUUAAAAUUAUAAUUUUGUUUCAUUUGGGUUGCUUUUGAACAAAAGUGUAAGGGUCACUGGAAGACAGGACACAACCUGCUGAGAUGCAACGAAGACAGUGUUCUACAGAUGAGUAUGUGCACAGAUAUAUAUUAAACAAACAGAUAUAUAUUAAAUAAACAAUCAAACAAACAGAAUAUCAGACUUUUGUUAUCUCCUGAUGUUAUUAAUUAGAAUUGAACCAUGGGCACACUAGGGCAAAGGAAUCAUCUGUUGUAGUUGAGGCUCUGGUUUCAGAAACAAAGUAAACAAGAAAAGAGAAACAUGUAGGGUUCAUAUCAGACUCGAUCACAUUUCUACAGGCUUCAGAUUACUGAUUUCAGCAUUCUCUAAAGGCUGUUCUAUUGGUGAAAUUGCACAGGCAAUAAGGAAGAUCUAUGCUGCAUUUGCAAGUGAAAUGAAUAGGCACAAAGCAUGCUACACUUUUAUCUUUGCAAUUCAUCAUAUUAAAACUAAUCAUGGCAGGUGUAAUUAUGUAAGCGCCAAAAAUAAAUAAGGAAGCAAAUAAAUAAAUAGCUCUCAAAUUUUCCUAAGCGUUCUGCUUUUCCUCAGCAUAAUAAAUCUAUGGGUUGGAGGAGAGGCUACAAUCUUCGGUACAGCAGAAGAUAUUUUGGGAAGAAAAUGCUAGUUAGGAAACCUGCUAAGAUUCUCUUAUCACAGCGAGAAAGGAUAAGA